Molecule: ribosomal RNA, 301 nt
Filed under: uncultured bacterium
Lineage: Bacteria
Description: partial 16S ribosomal RNA
Rfam family: Bacterial small subunit ribosomal RNA
Source: RNAcentral
CAGUCGCCGCGGGAAUACGGAGGGUGCAAGCGUUAAUCGGAAUUACUGGGCGUAAAGCGCACGCAGGCGGUCUGACAAGUCAGAUGUGAAAUCCCCGGGCUUAACCUGGGAACUGCAUUUGAAACUGUCAGGCUGGAGUCUUGUAGAGGGGGGUGGAAUUCCAGGUGUAGCGGUGAAAUGCGUAGAGAUCUGGAGGAAUACCGGUGGCGAAGGCGGCCCCCUGGACAAAGACUGACGCUCAGGUGCGAAAGCGUGGGGAGCAAACAGGAUUAGAUACCCGAGUAGUCCCUGUCUCUUAUAU